Molecule: long non-coding RNA, 435 nt
Organism: Planococcus citri (citrus mealybug)
Lineage: Eukaryota; Metazoa; Arthropoda; Insecta; Hemiptera; Pseudococcidae
Exons: 3
Source: RefSeq, a predicted model, not a curated record
GUCGAUAUGGUUUUGAACUCGAUCGUUAGCCGAAGAAAAAUUACAAGCUUCGGUUCGUUGUUUGGGCAAAGGAGGUCGAUUCAUGGAGAUAGGAAAAUUUGAUUUAGCUAAAAAUAAUACUCUAGGAAUGGAACAUUUCUUGAAAGAAAUCAGUUUCUACGGUAUCAUGUUGGAUAAUUUAUUCUACGCCAAAACUAAAUGGAAACUCAGCUUCGUGAUUGUUUACAAAGAGGUAUCGAUGAAGGUGCCGUCAAACCCUUAGUCAGAACAGUAUUCGCUACCUAUGAAGGAGAAGCAGCUUUCAGGUAUAUGGCAGCUGGUAAACAUAUCGGUAAAGUGUUGCUGAAAAUACGCGACGAAGAACCAGAUUCGUGCAAAACCUCAAAUUCUACGGUUCGAUGCCAUUCCUCGAUAUUUAUGUUCGGAGAGCGAAUC